This is a long non-coding RNA of Fukomys damarensis (Damara mole-rat), 1466 nucleotides long. RefSeq lists it as uncharacterized. The record is from RefSeq and is a predicted model, not a curated record. Lineage: Eukaryota; Metazoa; Chordata; Mammalia; Rodentia; Bathyergidae. The transcript has 3 exons.
CGAGCUGCACCGGCCCUCCCACAGGCUUUACACCGUUUCUGGACGACCUGCAAUACUAACACAUGACACGCCUAACUGGUGGACUCCCUGGAUGCAGAAGCCAUGGGUACAGAGGCCCGACAGAUAUGCUAGGGACACAAUAAGUACCCAGGAAGCAGGGUCUGUGUCUGUUCAGAGGAACCAAAAACAAAGGAGACGAUGAGAAAACAGCAGCUUUCCAGACCCCCUGGAAAAUGGGGCUCCUGAAACCCAGCAGUUCUUGCGCCUGGGGGUGCUGAGAACCCCAGGGAGUGUUCUGAAGCCGGACCUGGCAGGGAGUCCCAGGCAGCUCGAGUGCUCUGCAAGACCAGCUUUCCCACACUUGCCUGAGCAGAGCCCUCCCGGACAGCGAGUGUCAGACACAGAGGGUGCACGUGAGGGUCACUCCGCCACAGAGAGCAAGAAGGUCCCCCAAAGGCCACUUCAUCAUUACCAGGCCGACUGCUCUCUCACCCAGGACAGCACCCGGGAAACUGCUGUGGAAGGAAGGGAUCCCUGCCCCCACUGCAUCCUGCACUCCCUGCGCACUCCUGCCUGGGACAAAUCCCCGCUAUGGACCUACUCUGUGCCGGGCACACGGUGGAUCAAUACAGACCCGGUCCCAGGCACACGGUGCGGCAGAAUCUAAGGAUGAUCCCGAGGCACAAGUGAGACACCUCCUUGUCCAGUGAUGGAGGUGACCGGGAGAGAACAGAGGGGGCUGAUUCCCCCCGGGGGCUCGGAAGUGCUCCCUGAGGGACAGAGAUCUCAGUGAAGAUCCGAAAGAUUAGGGUGCAUCAUCUCGGGGAAGGUGCGACAGGAGAAAUGAGCAAGAAGUGGGCCAGGCUCCGUGGGCAGAGGCAGGGAGGGGACAGGGCCAUGGGCUGAAGAAAAGGCAGGUGUCUGAACGCCUCGAAGAACGGGGUGCCAAGACAGGUACACGUCUGCCUGGGCUGAUGCACCCCCACACCAGCUUCCUAGUUCUCACAGCAGUCACACACCAGCCCCCACUGGACUCACUUGUCAGACUCCCCCUCGUUAUGACAUGCGCUUCAGGACAAGGAAUUUUAUGGUUCAGUGAGCCGACAGCAGGGUGCUACCUUGCAGGUCUCAGGUAAAAGUUUGUUGAAUGAAUUAACGAACUGAGAAGACACUACCCUAAGAGGACAAGUAGCAGCCGCCCUGGAGAUUCUAAUUGGGAAGAGGAAACCUGAGCCAAUAAAAAUGUCCUACAUAUGGAUAAUGACCCUGAUAAUACGAAAAAGGUAUAACCUGCGAGGAAGGCACUGUCGCGACCCUCAUUUCAAAAAGCCAGGGCUGAAGUCACCCACAGGCGGGGGCGGAACCAAGGGUUGGAACCCUGCGGCAGCCCUACCCUCCCAAGCGUCCUGGUGCCUCCAUCUGGCCUUUCCGUUGCUGCCCGCGCCUGCUUCCCCCAGGGCCCGGCG